RNAcentral lists this unclassified non-coding RNA (364 nucleotides) under uncultured bacterium. RNAcentral's name for it is "contains 16S-23S intergenic spacer region". The record is from RNAcentral.
UCCCGGUUGGCCCGGGCGGUCUCGUGUGAAAAAUACAACACACGACAAGGGUUGCGCUCGUUGCGGGACUUAACCCAACAUCUCACGACACGAGCUGACGACGGCCAUGCAACACCUGUCACCUGGUUCCCGAAGGCACUCCACCGUUUCUGGCGGAUUCCAGGGAUGUCAAGCCUCGGUAAGGUUCUUCGUGUACCAUCGAAUUAAACCACAUGAUCCACUGCUUGUGCGGGACCCCGUCAAUUCCUUUGAGUUUUAAGCUUGCGCUCGUACUCCCCAGGCGGGAUGCUUAACGCGUUAGCUUCUCAGCCCAGAGGGUCGAUACUCCAGACUGAUAGCAUCCAUCGUUUACGGCGUGGACUAC